GUUGUUCGGAAUCACUGGGCGUAAAGGGCGCGUAGGCGGCCGAUCAAGUCGGGGGUGAAAGCCUGUGGCUCAACCACAGAAUGGCCUUCGAUACUGGUUGGCUCGAGACCGGAAGAGGUGAGUGGAACUGCGAGUGUAGAGGUGAAAUUCGUAGAUAUUCGCAAGAACACCAGUGGCGAAGGCGGCUCACUGGUCCGGUUCUGACGCUGAGGCGCGAAAGCGUGGGGAGCAAACAGG
This 237-nucleotide ribosomal RNA is filed under the name uncultured bacterium. RNAcentral's name for it is "partial 16S ribosomal RNA". It matches the Rfam family "Bacterial small subunit ribosomal RNA", at positions 540 to 776 of the family's 1533-position model. The record is from RNAcentral.